UAUUGGAUAUCCUUGGAUAUGCAGGAUACCAAACGGCAGUGAACUUUUCUUCUUCUAUGCAUCUUUCGCUAACUAAAUAGACUGUUUUAGUUGUCGAUUUGUGUUAUACUGUGUAACCAUCAUCUUAACGACCAGAAUGAUUCCCUCCCGGGAAGACGUAGGUUUUUGUAAGUUAUUUUCAAAGCUCAUCUCCAGUACACGACUUUUGGACUAGAGCGUCCUCGACAUGACAAAGCUCUGGAAUGAAUGACCUUACGAAGGCCAUAAAGAUGAUAAGCCCCUGCUGCGCCUUCCAGAAUGAAUUUUCUCAAUCCACCUCUACGUUGACUACCCACCCAUUCUGCAAGGACAAGGAAACAGGAAUCAAUGUCUUAACUGAGUUCCCUGACCGUCAUCCAGGUAUUUCUCUGCUCAUGUGCCGCGGCUCAAUUAGAUGAGCGGACAUGUGCCUCAUUAUUGACCUGUUGUUAGGGUGAAUUCUCGGUCCCCAAACAACGUAGGCAGCCAACGUAAGCCCUGCCACGUUCAGUGGACAGAAUGUCUCCCGAUAUAACGUAGAUCACUUUCAUGUUGCUGUUUUGAGGGCAACUGAAAGCUCUUACCUUUUUUAAAUAUACACACGCGCCUGCGCCUGCACACAAGCAUGCUUUCAACUAAAAAGGUCGUCUCAUGUGACAUGAUCUUUCCCGAACGGCUCUUUUUUCAAAGAAAUUACUCAUGUCAAAGGCCUU
Octopus bimaculoides (California two-spot octopus) is the source of this 731-nucleotide long non-coding RNA. The record is from RefSeq and is a predicted model, not a curated record. NCBI's taxonomy places the organism in Eukaryota, Metazoa, Mollusca, Cephalopoda, Octopoda, Octopodidae.